GCUCUGCUGGGUCGAAUUGUGCAGAGGCCGGCGUUGUUCCGAACGGCCAUCCCCCGCCAGUACCAACUUCUGAUCAAUCACCGUGAACGAAGUGGAAGCGUUGCACGAGCUGUACAAGAAACUGAGCAGUUCGAUCAUUGAUGAUGGUCUAAUCCACAAGGAGGAGCUUCAGUUGGCACUGUUCCAGACUCCAUCAGGAUUCAGGGGAGAACCUUUUCCUCGACCGGCAAGUCCAAGGAUUAAAUUUGUUCUGCUCAAGGCUAGCUUUUGGGAAACCAUAAGAUCAGGCAAGUCGAAGGAUUAAAUUUGUUCCGCUCAAGGCUAGCUUUUGGGAAACCAUAAGAUCAAGUGCAAAGUUAAUGUAUCAAGAUAACACAUCAAUGGAGGUGGAGGGACAUGAGGAUAUGACUCCGGAAUUGGAGCUUUCUGGCCAUGAAAAUGAAGAAGAGGCGCCCCCUACUACGAGUGCCACGAGUAAGGUACCUGGUUCUCAUCUUCCUCAGGAUAAGAAAUAUACAUCAGAAUGUUGGAGUCAUUAUACAAGAAUCAAUGAUAAGGAUGGAAAACCAAAUCAAGUGAAGUGCAUACAUUGUGGGAGAAUGCUUAAGUAUCAUGUUGCUAACGGUACUUCUGCGAUGAGGAAGCACUUGACCACAUGCAGGAGAUUUCCCCGUAAUGUAAAUAAGAGACAGAAAUUCUUUGCACCACGGAAUGUAGACAUGGCUGGCAAGUUAGGAGGUAAUUCUAAUACUGGUAGUAUCUUAUCAACAUGGUCGUUUAAUCAAGAACGUUGUAGGCAAAUACUUGCUCGGUUCAUCAUCAGUGAUGAGCAACCUUUUUCCUUGGUUGAACGUGUUGGAUUUCGUGAGUUUGUUAGUGAGUUAUAGCCUCUCUUCAAACAUAUAUCACGUUUUACAGUGGCAAAAGAUUGCAUGAAGUUGUAUAUAGAUGAAAGAACUUCUUUGAAGAAUUAUUUUGGACAGAUUAAUUCUAGGAUCGCACUCACGACCGAUACAUGGAGCUCCAUUCAAAAUCUGAAUUAUUUGUGUCUCACUGCACAUUUUAUUGAUGAAAAUUGGAAGUUGCAUAAAAGAAUCAUCAACUUUGUGGUGAUGCAUAGUCACAGGGGUAGGGAGAUUGGGAAAAUGGUGGAGAAAUGCAUUCAAGAGUGGGGAAUUGAGAAAAAGGUGUCCACAAUCACUGUGGAUAAUGCUAGCUCGAAUGAUGUUGCAAUUAAUUAUUUGAGGGAUAAAUUUUCCAAAGAAAAGUCGUUGAUAUUGGAUGGUAGUGUUUUGCACAUGAGGUGCACAGCUCAUAUAUUGAAUUUGAUUGUGAGAGAUGGCUUGACUACGGUACGUGACUCGAUUGCACGUGUUCGGAAUGUGGUUAGGUAUGUAAAGAGUUCUCCCGCAAGAGCCAAUGCAUUUCAGUCUUGCAUUAAGAGUGAAAAUAUCACUUAUAAAGGUUCGGUAGUUCUUGACGUUGCUACUAGAUGGAAUUCCACUUAUCUCAUGUUAGACACCGCCAUCAAGUUCAGAAAAUCUUUUCAAAGAAUGGAAGACGACAAUUUAUCAUUUGCAAGUGAGCUGAAUCAUGAAACUCCUAGUGAUGAUGAUUGGGAAAAUGCUAUUAUUAUUUCAGAUUUUCUAAAAGUAUUCUAUGAUGCCACCAAUCGGAU
Molecule: long non-coding RNA, 1678 nt
Organism: Eucalyptus grandis
Lineage: Eukaryota; Viridiplantae; Streptophyta; Magnoliopsida; Myrtales; Myrtaceae
Exons: 6
Source: RefSeq, a predicted model, not a curated record